ACAACAACAAAUUAUCUUUCUUACUAAAGCUUGUUUGGUCAAGCUAUAUGUUCACCCUAGUUUUAACCUAAUAUUUUCCCUCCAUCACCCAAACAUUUAAUUUUAAUUAAUGCUUUUCCUACUCAUCUUUCUAAGUUCAAUUUUUAAAUUCCCUGCCACAACAAUUGAUGUCUGAUGCGUAUAGGGAUUAUGGCAUGACAUUUAAUAGCGUCCACCCUCAUUUUUCUAUUUCCAACAUGCCUAUUAGUGGUCAAUUGGUGGAUAGCAACAAAGUUUGUUUCCAACGAAUUUUUAUAAAGUACGAUCAAAACACAGGUUAUGAAUUGUAUUUUGAAUUCGUCAACGGCCGCAGAUAGAAAAGAACAAAGCUGAUGGUGGUGGUGGGUUGAAGUGUCGUGUAGAAACGCAUGCUAGGAGGAGGAUAGGCCAUUAAUCCAUGAAGAACAAAGGUCGAAUGUCGUUGUUUUCUACAGAAUUUCCCCAUUUGGUUUCUCUUAUGGCGCAAAAAUCAAUUUAGCUACGCGGUGUUCUCACAUGUGUUCGGAUGUCAUUGUUAUCUGGACUUCAGUCUACUGUUGCAGCUAUUGUAUGAUGGGAUUUAUGUCAAUUGUUGAGGUGAUAAACUACUGUAUCUAGAUGUAUCUGAUAUAUUAGUUUUUCUCUUGAUUUUACUUCUAGAAAUUGUUUUCGUUCAGAGCAGUAGAUUUUUGCAAAGAUGUUUAGGAGUUUCAGACAUAUUAUUUAACAGUAGCAGAUUACUCUUCGUGUAUAUCUUGAACGGUGCAGCCAUUUUCCCCCCAAUUUUGUAUCAGUCUCUGUAAUUGCUCAAAGCAGAGUGGUAAAUUAAUGUCUCUUAUUAUUCCCAUUGUCUCGCGCGUAUUAGCACGAACCAAUGAUAGUAUUUAUCUAACUUGGGCGAUAAGAUCCGGAAAGUGGUAAAUCUAUGGUAAUUGAUCUAUUUUGUUCUUGCUUUUUUUGUGCAAUCAGCUUGAUCAAAUUUACGAAAAAUAGUUGGUCAUUUGUGUGUUAAUGGUUUGAGAAAUUGUGUUAUGUUCUUAGAGACACAAGGACACGCUAAAUUAGUGUUUGUUUUUAUUGAUGUUUUUUUUUAAUGUUAAUCCAUGAUGGCUGUUUUUGUAAGCAAUUUAAAGUAUUAGUAACUUUUUGUUUGUUAUUUGGUGUAGUUUCAGGGAGGAUGUGUAGACACUGAAACAUUGAGAACAAUGGUUCCUCAUGCUAGACAAGUGAAUGUAUUAUUGUCUCUGGUCUUACUAUACUCUCAAGCAUAAUAACUAUAAUUAGGAAUUGAAUAGUUGAAAUUUAGAGUUUGUUUUGAACCAAAGGAAUUGAACCAACCUACUGUCAUACUAUAAUAUACUCUUCUUUUGAGCAUGAAAUUAUGCUCAAGGAAUUGAACCAACCUACUAAAUUACUACUUGAAUGUCAUUAUAUGUCAUUGCUUUAUCUCUUGCAGUAUAUAGUGGAAGCUCUCAAGUUUGGAUGCUUUGCUGCAAAAUGAAUACGAUAAAGAAAAUUAUGAGAUUUAACACUUCUUAUAAAGAAAAUUAGUUUGUUUUUGCAGUGCUUUGUUUGGGAUAAUGGUUAAUUGUUGUCUAUUUUUCAGUUAGUUGUGGUCCAUUUUUAAUGAAGAAAAUGCUAAGUCACGUAUAUCAUGUAUAUAAAUCUAAGAAGGUCCUAUAAAAUUGAAUUUGGUCAAAAUAGACGAUAGGUUUAUCUAUGUGUAACUAUCACAAAGGAAAUUCAAAGUUUGUUUUAAUUUUAAUUUUAUCUUUUUGUAUAGGAUUGUUUGAAAGUUGUGAAUACUCCAUCAACCAAGUCAAGUGGAAAAAGAAGAGAAAAGGGAAUAUAAGUCACACCAAUUGAUGAUAGUGGAACACUAAGAUGUUUGAGAUUGUGUUGUAAAUGAGCAUGGUAAAUGAGUCUUCUUUAUCAAUCUUUUUUUUUAAAGGCAAUUCUUCUAAUGUAUUGUCUUCCACCUCUAUAUAUUUUAUAUUCUCAUUGCAAACGUAAAUGUUAUAUAUAGUGUUUCAUAAAUAAAACAAUUGGUUUUAAAUGGUUA
Long non-coding RNA from Medicago truncatula (barrel medic), 2080 nucleotides. RefSeq lists it as uncharacterized. The transcript is spliced from 2 exons. NCBI's taxonomy places the organism in Eukaryota, Viridiplantae, Streptophyta, Magnoliopsida, Fabales, Fabaceae. The record is from RefSeq and is a predicted model, not a curated record.